Molecule: long non-coding RNA, 271 nt
Filed under: Panax ginseng (ginseng)
Lineage: Eukaryota; Viridiplantae; Streptophyta; Magnoliopsida; Apiales; Araliaceae
Description: long non-coding RNA (PGIN_LNC005604)
Source: RNAcentral
UCGGGUUCCAUUUCAAUCUUAAAUAAGGAAUUAGUUCAUAGAAAUAAUCUAAAAAUCAUCUUAUGGUUACAAGAAUAAAAUAUUGAGAAUAAGGAAGAAAUUUUGUCACAGUUAAUCUUCACCCUCUGACUUCAAAUCCUUGCAAACUUCGUACACUUUCCUUCAAUAUCUGACGAAAAACCAUAGCCUAUGUAAUCUGAUAAUAAUCUCCAAAAAUAUUCCUCUUUCAUCAUCCUAAUAUAUUUGUUAUAUAUAGAACCCUUUAAUUAAC